RNAcentral lists this transfer RNA (74 nucleotides) under Treponema sp. RNAcentral describes it as "tRNA-Arg". It matches the Rfam family "tRNA". From Rfam's summary of the family: Transfer RNA (tRNA) molecules are approximately 80 nucleotides in length. Lineage: Bacteria; Pseudomonadati; Spirochaetota; Spirochaetia; Treponematales; Treponemataceae. The record is from RNAcentral.
GAGAGACUAGCUCAUCUGGAUAGAGCGUCAGCCUCCGGAGCUGAAGGCGGUGGGUUCGAGUCCCGCGUCUCUCA